RNAcentral lists this ribosomal RNA (445 nucleotides) under uncultured bacterium. RNAcentral's name for it is "bacterial SSU rRNA". It matches the Rfam family "Bacterial small subunit ribosomal RNA", at positions 330 to 792 of the family's 1533-position model. The record is from RNAcentral.
ACCAGACUCCUACGGGAGGCAGCAGUGGGGAAUAUUGCACAAUGGGGGGAACCCUGAUGCAGCGACGCCGCGUGAGUGAAGAAGUAUUUCGGUAUGUAAAGCUCUAUCAGCAGGGAAGAAAAUGACAGUACCUGACUAAGAAGCCCCGGCUAACUACGUGCCAGCAGCCGCGGUAAUACGUAGGGGGCAAACGUUAUCCGGAUUUACUGGGUGUAAAGGGAGCGUAGACGGCUGCGCAAGUCAGAAGUGAAAGCCCGGGGCUCAACCGCGGGACUGCUUUUGAAACUGUGUAGCUAGAGUGCAGGAGAGGUAAGUGGAAUUCCUAGUGUAGCGGUGAAAUGCGUAGAUAUUAGGAGGAACACCGGUGGCGAAGGCGGCUUACUGGACUGUAACUGACGUUGAGGCUCGAAAGCGUGGGGAGCAAACAGGAUUAGAUACCCCAGUA